Molecule: ribosomal RNA, 468 nt
Filed under: uncultured bacterium
Lineage: Bacteria
Description: partial 16S ribosomal RNA
Rfam family: Bacterial small subunit ribosomal RNA
Source: RNAcentral
GACGAACGCUGGCGGCGUGCUUAACACAUGCAAGUCGAACGGAAAGGCCCUGCUUUUGUGGGGUGCUCGAGUGGCGAACGGGUGAGUAACACGUGAGUAACCUGCCCUUGACUUUGGGAUAACUUCAGGAAACUGGGGCUAAUACCGGAUAGGAGCUCCUGCUGCAUGGUGGGGGUUGGAAAGUUUCGGCGGUUGGGGAUGGACUCGCGGCUUAUCAGCUUGUUGGUGGGGUAGUGGCUUACCAAGGCUUUGACGGGUAGCCGGCCUGAGAGGGUGACCGGCCACAUUGGGACUGAGAUACGGCCCAGAGUCCUACGGGAGGCAGCAGUGGGGAAUAUUGCACAAUGGGCGGGAGCCUGAUGCAGCAACGCCGCGUGCGGGAUGACGGCCUUCGGGUUGUAAACCGCUUUCGCCUGUGACGAAGCGUGAGUGACGGUAAUGGGUAAAGAAGCACCGGCUAACUACGUG